Molecule: ribosomal RNA, 477 nt
Filed under: uncultured bacterium
Lineage: Bacteria
Description: partial 16S ribosomal RNA
Rfam family: Bacterial small subunit ribosomal RNA
Source: RNAcentral
GAUUAACGCUGGCGGCGUGCAUAACACAUGCAAGUCGAACGAUGAAACUUUAAUGAACCCUUCGGGGAGAAUUAAAGCGGAUUAGUGGCGAACGGGUGAGUAACGCGUGAGUAACCUGCCUUACACAAGGGGAUAGCCUUUGGAAACGAAGAAUAAUACCCUAUAACACCAUAAAAGCACAUGCAAUUAUGGUCAAAGUGAUAGCGGUGUAAGAUGGACUUGCGUCUGAUUAGCUAGUUGGUGAGAUAAAAGCCCACCAAGUCAACGAUCAGUAGCCGGCUUGAGAGAGUGUACGGCCACAUUGGGACUGAGACACGGCCCAGACUCCUACGGGAGGCAGCAGUGGGGAAUUUUGCACAAUGGGGGAAACCCUGAUGCAGCGACGCCGCGUGAUUUAGAAGGCCUUCGGGUUGUAAAAAUCUUUUGUAUAGGAAGAAAAUGACAGUACUAUACGAAUAAGGUCCGGCUAAUUACGUG